This 884-nucleotide ribosomal RNA is filed under the name Flavobacterium gyeonganense. RNAcentral's name for it is "bacterial SSU rRNA". It matches the Rfam family "Bacterial small subunit ribosomal RNA", at positions 61 to 951 of the family's 1533-position model. The record is from RNAcentral. Lineage: Bacteria; Pseudomonadati; Bacteroidota; Flavobacteriia; Flavobacteriales; Flavobacteriaceae.
GUCGAGGGGUAUAGCACUUCGGUGCUAGAGACCGGCGCACGGGUGCGUAACGCGUAUGGAAUCUACCUUUUACAGGGGGAUAGCCCAGAGAAAUUUGGAUUAAUACCCCAUAGUAUAUAUGAAUGGCAUCAUUUAUAUAUUAAAGUCACAACGGUAAAAGAUGAGCAUGCGUCCCAUUAGCUAGAUGGUAAGGUAACGGCUUACCAUGGCUACGAUGGGUAGGGGUCCUGAGAGGGAGAUCCCCCACACUGGUACUGAGACACGGACCAGACUCCUACGGGAGGCAGCAGUGAGGAAUAUUGGACAAUGGGCGCAAGCCUGAUCCAGCCAUGCCGCGUGCAGGAUGACGGUCCUAUGGAUUGUAAACUGCUUUUAUACGAGAAGAAACACUGAUUCGUGAAUCAGCUUGACGGUAUCGUAAGAAUAAGGAUCGGCUAACUCCGUGCCAGCAGCCGCGGUAAUACGGAGGAUCCAAGCGUUAUCCGGAAUCAUUGGGUUUAAAGGGUCCGUAGGCGGUCUAGUAAGUCAGUGGUGAAAGCCCAUCGCUCAACGGUGGAACGGCCAUUGAUACUGCUGGACUUGAAUUAUUAGGAAGUAACUAGAAUAUGUAGUGUAGCGGUGAAAUGCUUAGAGAUUACAUGGAAUACCAAUUGCGAAGGCAGGUUACUACUAAUGGAUUGACGCUGAUGGACGAAAGCGUGGGUAGCGAACAGGAUUAGAUACCCUGGUAGUCCACGCCGUAAACGAUGGAUACUAGCUGUUGGGGGCAACUUCAGUGGCUAAGCGAAAGUGAUAAGUAUCCCACCUGGGGAGUACGAACGCAAGUUUGAAACUCAAAGGAAUUGACGGGGGCCCGCACAAGCGGUGGAGCAUGUGGUUUAAUU